AUGACAUUGAGGUCAAUCCUGAAGAUGAAGUAGAAAUGAGGGAUGAUGAUUCCAGCGAAGAAACCAUUGCUGACCUACAUCAAUGCAAAGGCUCAACAACAGAGACUUCUAGGGACCAGACACUUCUGAGGCAAACACCAGAGUCAACCACCCUGGACAACAUGGAGGGCACUUCUGAGUCAACCACCCUGGACAACAUGGAGGGCACUUCUGAGUCAACC
This is a long non-coding RNA of Coregonus clupeaformis (lake whitefish), 221 nucleotides long. RefSeq lists it as uncharacterized. The transcript has 3 exons. The record is from RefSeq and is a predicted model, not a curated record. NCBI's taxonomy places the organism in Eukaryota, Metazoa, Chordata, Actinopteri, Salmoniformes, Salmonidae.